RNAcentral lists this non-coding RNA (121 nucleotides) under Yersinia enterocolitica. The record is from RNAcentral. Lineage: Bacteria; Pseudomonadati; Pseudomonadota; Gammaproteobacteria; Enterobacterales; Yersiniaceae.
AGACUGCUGACAAAGUGCCAGCUACAGAGAGAACAGGCAGAUCGUAAAGACGCCGUAUUCACUUUGCAAAAAUAAGCUCCCCUGGAGGCUCGUGCCGCACGAUCCCUGGCGCGGACGCUUU